Molecule: ribosomal RNA, 484 nt
Filed under: uncultured bacterium
Lineage: Bacteria
Description: partial 16S ribosomal RNA
Rfam family: Bacterial small subunit ribosomal RNA
Source: RNAcentral
AUUGAACGCUGGCGGCAUGCUUUACACAUGCAAGUCGAACGGCAGCGCGGGCUUCGGCCUGGCGGCGAGUGGCGAACGGGUGAGUAAUGCAUCGGAACGUGCCCAGUAGUGGGGGAUAGCCCGGCGAAAGCCGGAUUAAUACCGCAUACGACCUGAGGGUGAAAGCGGGGGACCGAAAGGCCUCGCGCUAUUGGAGCGGCCGAUGUCGGAUUAGCUAGUUGGUGGGGUAAAGGCUUACCAAGGCGACGAUCCGUAGCUGGUCUGAGAGGACGACCAGCCACACGGGGACUGAGACACGGCCCAGACUCCUACGGGAGGCAGCAGUGGGGAAUUUUGGACAAUGGGGGCAACCCUGAUCCAGCCAUGCCGCGUGCGGGAAGAAGGCCUUCGGGUUGUAAACCGCUUUUGUUCGGGAAGAAAUCCUCUGGGCUAAUACCCCGGGGGGAUGACGGUACCGGAAGAAUAAGCACCGGCUAACUACGUG